Molecule: RNase P RNA, 348 nt
Filed under: Armatimonadota bacterium
Lineage: Bacteria; Bacillati; Armatimonadota
Description: Armatimonadetes bacterium (activated sludge metagenome) RNase P RNA component class A
Rfam family: Bacterial RNase P class A
About the family: Ribonuclease P (RNase P) is a ubiquitous endoribonuclease, found in archaea, bacteria and eukarya as well as chloroplasts and mitochondria.
Source: RNAcentral
UCGGCCAGCUGGGCGGCGGCCCUGCGAUUCUUCGCAGGGAGGAAAGUCCGGGCUCCAUUGGGCGCGGCGCCGGGUAACGCCCGGGGCGAGCGAAGGCUCGUACGGAAAGCGCAACAGAAAGGAAACCGCCCGUAGCCAAUCGGGUAAGGGUGAAAAGGCGCAGAUAAGAUCGCGCCGGUCGGCCAGCAAUGGUCGAUUGGGCAAGCCCCGCCGGGAGCAAGGCCAAAUAGGAGAGGGAUCGCGCGGCCCGCGCGCCUCUCGGGUUGGCCGCUACAGGUCCGAGCGCAAGCCGGAUCGCAGAGAGAUCGUCGCCGAACACAGAACCCGGCUUAUAGGCUGGCCGAUCCC